Molecule: unclassified non-coding RNA, 209 nt
Filed under: Hevea brasiliensis (rubber tree)
Lineage: Eukaryota; Viridiplantae; Streptophyta; Magnoliopsida; Malpighiales; Euphorbiaceae
Source: RNAcentral
CCCCAUAGAGCUGCUUGAGACGCAUACUCAGUAUUUUUAGAAAGGUCAACUACAUUAGGGGCGUGAAUUUCCAAAAACUGGCAUUCCAUUGAUUCUUGAAUGUGAUGUGACCAAUUCAUGGUUUGCUUUUCAGAAGUUGACUGGGCAAGAAGCUCCAGUACCAUUAUCUGAUAUCCAAUGAUACCUCCAAUGCAAUCAUAGAACUGUUC